GACGUAGGGCGCAAGCGUUGUCCGGAUUUAUUGGGCGUAAAGAGCUCGUAGGCGGCUUGUCGCGUCGACUGUGAAAACCCGUGGCUCAACCAUGUGGUCUGCAGUCGAUACGGGCAGGCUAGAUUUCGGUAGGGGAGACUGGAAUUCCUGGUGUAGCGGUGAAAUGCGCAGAUAUCAGGAGGAACACCGGUGGCGAAGGCGGGUCUCUGGGCCGAUAUUGACGCUGAGGAGCGAAAGCGUGGGGAGCGAACAGG
Molecule: ribosomal RNA, 254 nt
Filed under: uncultured bacterium
Lineage: Bacteria
Description: partial 16S ribosomal RNA
Rfam family: Bacterial small subunit ribosomal RNA
Source: RNAcentral